AUGCCGCUGAUUAUGGGGGAAAGCAACGGAUCUGUGUGCUCGCGAUUAUCGUGGGUGAGUGCUAGUUACCCCGAUUCUGCUGUUUUUGGCGUCGAUUCGGAGAGGCUGAGCAUGCUGCGAGAGGUUACCGAGGACGACCCCAGUGGCAGAUUUGCGGAUUUGAUGGAUUCUGUUGACGUUAGGUCAGAAACAGGCAAUGUGGAUCUAGAUGACAAUAGGGCUUUGAGGAUGGAGAAUAGAUAUACGGCUCUUGAUGACAAAGUUGGAUGGGUUACAAGGAACAGGAAGGUGGCAAUGCCAGACGAGAGAGCAACAAGUGCUGAAAGGGUGACAGCCCUGGAAACAACACUCACAGGAUUUGCCGAAAGAAAAACAGACACGAUGGUGACACCAUCGGUUGGGCUGACUUUUGACUCUAUAAUCGAGGCCUGCGAUUUUUACAAUCUUUAUUCCUGGGAGACAGGGUUCGGCAUCAGAUAUGCAAAGAGCAGAACCAAUGUCAAAGGAACGAGAUGCAUGCAGGAGUUUGUGUGCUGCUGCUCGGGCAAGCCAAAAGAGGCGAACUCAACAUCAUCACGGUGUCAAUGCCAAGCCAUGAUAAGACUCUUGCGUAUAGAUGACGAUGGCUGGUACAUCAACGAAUUCAGGUCCAGCCACAAUCACUCGAUGUUGAACACAUGUGCUGAGAAACUCCACUUCCCUUCACAUAGGCAUAUUGACAAAUAUACGAGAGCUAGUAUCUCAGCUUAG
Molecule: ribosomal RNA, 750 nt
Filed under: Triticum aestivum (bread wheat)
Lineage: Eukaryota; Viridiplantae; Streptophyta; Magnoliopsida; Poales; Poaceae
Description: partial small subunit ribosomal RNA
Source: RNAcentral